AAUAAGUGCAGCCAUGAGUUUCCGCGUCCAACUUUAAUCGUCCGUCUUAUUUGAAAAUUUUUUAUAACUAGCAUUUUUGUUGUUAUAGGAUGAUAAAACAUGAAUAGUAGUUCACUUGUGACUUAUGUUUUUAUUUUUUUUUCAAAUAAGACGAAUGGUUAAAGUUGGACGCGGAAAAUCAUGGCUACGCUUAUU
Non-coding RNA from Oryza glumipatula, 195 nucleotides. The record is from Rfam. Lineage: Eukaryota; Viridiplantae; Streptophyta; Magnoliopsida; Poales; Poaceae.